Molecule: long non-coding RNA, 2298 nt
Filed under: Vigna radiata
Lineage: Eukaryota; Viridiplantae; Streptophyta; Magnoliopsida; Fabales; Fabaceae
Description: long non-coding RNA (VRAD_LNC018419)
Source: RNAcentral
UUCUAUAUAUUGAAUAUAGAUUAUAAAUUACUUUUAAUCAAAUAGCUAACAUUUAAAGAUGACAAACCUCUUCAUUCAUAGUUUUUUCUCUUACUUUUUAUAUAAAUCUCAUUACCACAAUUUCUCUGUCAUUUUCGUAAAUCUCCUCACAUUCAUAUCUUUCAUUUCAUUUAUCUUCACCCACAUUCAUCUCAUGCAUCACACUCAUAUUUUUCAUCCACAGAUAUUCAUCUACAUUUUUUUCUUAUCUUCUUCAUACAUAUUUUUUUUUCCUCUUCACUUUCUUUUACACUUUUCUCCUCAUCUCCUUCCUUCAUACUCAUUUCAUCCAUCCACAUUCAUCUCUCUUAUACAUAUUCAUUUCUUUCAUCCAUUACAUUUUUUUUUCUAUUUUUUCAUCUAUAUUUUUUGAAUAUGAAGGUAUGAUAUAAUAUUUUCACUUUUUUAAUUUAUUUUCAUUCAGUGUUAACUAAAUCAAUACUAAUUAAAUAAAUUUUUAAAAUAAAAAUACACCGGUAUUGGCUUAACAUAUGCUAAAUUGCUUUAAUAAAAAUUAAAUUUAAAUAUUCAUGAGUUAAACACAAUACUAUAUUAGUCAUUUUUCUUGUUCACGACGUUUAGUAGAAUGUAUGUAUUGUUCCACAAUUUUUACCAUUGUAAAAUAUAAAAUCAACCUAUUUAUAUUUUCUAGUCCCUUUUGAUAGUUACAUAAAGUAAUUUUCAAAUUUAAACAAGUUACAUGCUAAACUGUCCUUUAAAUGUCCUAAAAAACCUUCCUUCGACUACCAAAUAAAUGUCACGUGUCUUGGAGGAAUUAAUAUCCAUUAUGUCUUCAUAAUUAUAGUUGCUUUAUUCUUCUUUUCUAUUUGCUUUGAUUAUCAUUUAUAGAUCGACCUUAGUCGUAUUAUUUCCUUUCUUCUUUAAUCAAAGUUCCAAUAGAGGGUAAACAGUCAACUCUUAUCUCUUUCGAUGGCCUAAUAAGGGUCAAUAGUCAACUUCUAAUGAGUUACAAGCCUAUUUUAUGUCAUCCUUCACUAACAUCAUCAUUGUAAAAUAUUAUGUGUUGAGAUCUUUUGAUUCUUGCUCUUUUUAUAAGAUUUUUCCUUUGAUCAAUUACAUGAAACACCUUUCUACUAACUCUCGACUACAAAACGACCCAUAAUGUUUUGAAUAAUUUAUACACAUCUCUCUAUGCCCUCAGGAGAUGUCCCCCAAAAUAAUUCUUGUUCAUACCUUGAAUGAAUAAGUACUCUCUUGCCACAUGACCCAUCCUCUUUAGCUUUGUGACCCCUUGCCUUCUUUAUCUCUUCAUGACUUUCCAACAUUCUCUUGGAAUUUCAUGACUAUUUCCAUUCUGGUGAGUGAACAAAGGUUGACAUUAGUAUUUAUAGAACAUCCUAUGUAGUAAUUAACCAGUUGUAACAUGUUUAUAACAUUUGGUUGUCUUUUAACCAACCCCAUAUUUAAUAUUUCUGAUAUUCGUGUUCUCGUACAAUUGUGAAAAUCUACCUUUGUUUUGAUUUUGUUUUGUUGUUAUAUGAGGUGUUUUUUUUUUCUUUCGUAGGCCUUUAAUGACAAGCCCAAUUCACUUUUGAAUUUCCCCACUUUCCUAAACCUUGUUCCUCUUUGUCUCUAAUCGUUUUAUUUGCUUCCUUCCUAAGUCUCUUUCUUCCUUUCGCAUUCUCGUUACACCUUCCUACCAUUCUUUCAACAAACUCUUGCACUUCCCUACCUUUUGUACUAGCUUCCAUGGUUUCCUCAUCUUUAAAGCAUGUUAAUGUGCAACCCAUCUCUUUCUGCUUUGCUUUCGAUGGAAAAAUAGGCACUUGUUUGCUUUAGUUAUGAAUUUGGAGGAGGAGUCAUGAAAAAUUUGUGAGGCACAUGUAAUGGUAAUAUACUUUGUAGGUGAUUUAUCUUAUGCUUUCAGUGGCCCUAUCCAAUCUUCCCCACUACUUCAAUGUCUAAUGGACUUUCCUCAAACAACUUUUGUCACCUUAAUCAAUCAACCUCUCGAGAUUCGUAUAUUGUAGGUCAUCAUUCUUCAUAUUGUAUCAAUCUACCCCUCCUCUUCUGCCAAUCAUAAGUCACAUUAUUUCAAGUAGCUAGAUAAAGUUAGGUCCACUUAUGGGAAUCAUUGGAAGAAGAUCGACAUCUUCGCUUUCAUGUAACUUUCUCAAUGUGACAUUUCUUUCCCCAACUUAGGGAUGCUUGCCUUGGUCAUUCAUCUCUUAAACAAAGACAUUAAUCACUAAUGCAAAAAAUGCAUUUUAUGACUACUAUUAUGACGAUUAUAGUCCA